RNAcentral lists this ribosomal RNA (508 nucleotides) under uncultured bacterium. RNAcentral's name for it is "partial 16S ribosomal RNA". It matches the Rfam family "Bacterial small subunit ribosomal RNA", at positions 29 to 523 of the family's 1533-position model. The record is from RNAcentral.
AUUGAACGCUGGCGGCAGGCCUAACACAUGCAAGUCGAGCGGCAGCGGGAAAGUAGCUUGCUACUUUUGCCGGCGAGCGGCGGACGGGUGAGUAAUGCCUGGGGAUCUGCCCAGUCGAGGGGGAUAACUACUGGAAACGGUAGCUAAUACCGCAUACGCCCUACGGGGGAAAGCAGGGGACCUUCGGGCCUUGCGCGAUUGGAUGCACCCAGGUGGGAUUAGCUAGUUGGUGGGGUAAUGGCUCACCAAGGCGACGAUCCCUAGCUGGUCUGAGAGGAUAGUCAGCCACACUGGAACUGGGACACGGUCCAGGCUCCUACGGGAGGCAGCAGUGGGGAAUAUUGCACAAUGGGGGAAACCCUGAUGCAGCCAUGCCGCGUGUGUGAAGAAGGCCUUCGGGUUGUAAAGCACUUUCAGCGAGGAGGAAAGGUUGGUAGCUAAUAACUGCCAGCUGUGACGUUACUCGCAGAAGAAGCACCGGCUAACUCCGUGCCAGCAGCCGCAGUAA